GACGAACGCUGGCGGCGUGCCUAAUACAUGCAAGUCGGGCGGACUGGAGGGAGCUUGCUCCCAAAGGUCAGCGGCGGACGGGUGAGUAACACGUGGGUAACCUGCCUGGUAGACUGGGAUAACGCUUGGAAACGGGUGCUAAUACCGGAUAAUCUCCUGAAUCGCAUGGUUCAAGAGUAAAAGGAGCUUUCGCUUCACUGCCAGAUGGACCCGCGGCGCAUUAGCUAGUUGGUGAGGUAACGGCUCACCAAGGCGACGAUCCGUAGCUGGUUUGAGAGGACGACCAGCCACACUGGGACUGAGACACGGCCCAG
RNAcentral lists this ribosomal RNA (314 nucleotides) under uncultured bacterium. RNAcentral describes it as "bacterial SSU rRNA". It matches the Rfam family "Bacterial small subunit ribosomal RNA", at positions 28 to 334 of the family's 1533-position model. The record is from RNAcentral.